CGGGCCCCGGCGUUAUCCAGCCCCGCCGGCCCAGCAGCGCUUUCCCCGGGAAGAAGCUCCUGUAGGAAAGGGCAGGAAGCUAACUUCUAAACAGAGAGCAGCUUCUGGCACUCCUUAGGAAGUCAAUGAAGUCUCCAACAGCCACCAGCUGUUGGAAACAGAUGCCAUCUGGAGAAAAAACAUUAUAAUCUCACAUGGCAAACCUAGCAGAUUUCAUCCAGUA
Melozone crissalis (California towhee) is the source of this 223-nucleotide long non-coding RNA. RefSeq lists it as uncharacterized. The record is from RefSeq and is a predicted model, not a curated record. NCBI's taxonomy places the organism in Eukaryota, Metazoa, Chordata, Aves, Passeriformes, Passerellidae. The transcript has 3 exons.